GUAUCCGUAAGCCGCCGCCGCCGCCGGAGGCGGAGGGGGGUAGCCGUACCCGUAUUGCGGCGGCGGUGGGUAGCCGUAUCCCGAUUGCUGCGGCGGCGGCGCGUACCCGUACGGCGGCGGAGGGGGCGGCGGGUAUCCGUAGGGGGGCGGGUACGGCGCGGCGGCGGAGCUCGACGCCGCCGGGUACGCCGUCACCGGCUCGGCGCCCUGUGGCGGCUUCCCCGUUGCCUGAGGAGGGUACGACGACGGCGGUGGGUAAGGUGCCGUCGGCUCGGCGCCCUUUGGCGGCUUCCCGGUCGCCGGAGGAGGGUACGACGACGGCGGUGGGUAAGGUGCCGCCGCGGCGGCGGGGUAGGCCGCGACGGGAGCGUCGAGCUUGGACGCCGCAGAGGGAGGGGGGUACGAAGAUGGAAGUGGGUAGGACUGCGCCGCCGCGGUGGCCGGGCGCGGGGCGGCGGCGGGCGCGGUGGACUCGCCGAGCUUGUAGGAGAAGUUGAGGACGCCCUUGGGCUUUCCGGAGGAGGGGCUCCGGACCUGGUAGGAGACGAAGCGCGGGGCGGAGCGGGCGCCAUCGGCGAGGAGCUCGGAGAGGGGGACGUGGACCUCGCCGACGUCGCGGUCGCCGAGGGCGCGCUCGGCGCGGAGGAGGACGUGGAGGACGAGGCGCGAGGGGUCGAUCCCCUCGGCGGGAACGGAGAAGCGGAGCGUAG
RNAcentral lists this long non-coding RNA (710 nucleotides) under Ananas comosus (pineapple). RNAcentral describes it as "long non-coding RNA (ACOM_LNC006554)". The record is from RNAcentral. Lineage: Eukaryota; Viridiplantae; Streptophyta; Magnoliopsida; Poales; Bromeliaceae.